UGGCGGACGGGUGAGUAAUGUCUGGGAAACUGCCUGAUGGAGGGGGGUAACUACUGGAAACGGUAGCUAAUACCGCAUAACGUCGCAAGACCAAAGAGGGGGACCUUAGGGCCUCUUGCCAUCGGAUGUGCCCAGAUGGGAUUAGCUAGUAGGUGGGGUAACGGCUCACCUAGGCGACGAUCCCUAGCUGGUCUGAGAGGAUGACCAGCCACACUGGAACUGGGACACGGUCCAG
RNAcentral lists this ribosomal RNA (235 nucleotides) under uncultured bacterium. RNAcentral's name for it is "partial 16S ribosomal RNA". It matches the Rfam family "Bacterial small subunit ribosomal RNA", at positions 96 to 334 of the family's 1533-position model. The record is from RNAcentral.